CCUACGGGAGGCUGCAGUGAGGAAUAUUGGUCAAUGGACGAGAGUCUGAACCAGCCAAGUCGCGUGAAGGAUGACUGCCCUAUGGGUUGUAAACUUCUUUUAUAUGGGAAUAAAAUGUUCCACGUGUGGGAUUUUGUAUGUACCAUAUGAAUAAAGAUCGGCUAACUACGUGCCAGCAGACGAGGUAAUACGGUGGGUCCGAGCGUUAUCCGGAUUUAUUGGGUUUAAAGGGAGCGUAGGUGGAUUGUUAAGUCAGUGGGGAAAGUUUGCGGCUCAACCGGAGAAUUGCAGGUGAAACUGGCAGUCUUGAGGACAGUAGAGGUAGGCGGAAUUCGGGGUGUAGCGGGGAAAUGCGUAGAUAUGACGAAGAACUCCGAUUGCGAAGGCAGCUCACUGGACUGCAACUGACACUGAGGCUCGAAAGUGUGGGUAUCAAACAGGAUUAGAUACCCCAGUAGUC
Molecule: ribosomal RNA, 460 nt
Filed under: uncultured bacterium
Lineage: Bacteria
Description: partial 16S ribosomal RNA
Rfam family: Bacterial small subunit ribosomal RNA
Source: RNAcentral